Molecule: transfer RNA, 68 nt
Filed under: Ictidomys tridecemlineatus (thirteen-lined ground squirrel)
Lineage: Eukaryota; Metazoa; Chordata; Mammalia; Rodentia; Sciuridae
Description: Spermophilus tridecemlineatus (thirteen-lined ground squirrel) tRNA
Rfam family: tRNA
About the family: Transfer RNA (tRNA) molecules are approximately 80 nucleotides in length. Their secondary structure includes four short double-helical elements and three loops (D, anti-codon, and T loops).
Source: Rfam by way of RNAcentral
GUGGUGGCUCAGUGGUAGAGCGCUUGCCUAGCAUGUGGGAGGCACUGGGUUCCAUUCUCAGCACCACA